CGGGGCAAGGCGGCGGGACGGGGAGGAAACGCCGUGCGCCGCUCUGAGGACCUCCAGGAAGCCUGCGGCGGCGGUCUGGGACCGGGCUCCGUCCGCCUCGGUCUGGUCACUCCCAAUCCUUGUACCAGUGUCUUGAAAGCGCCGGCGCUGGACAGGUUUGGGGGGGGCUUCGCCGAGGACCCGGCUCCGGAGACUUCCUGCUCAAUCUGCAGCUGUGGCUCUCCAACUCUCAACUCUUCACACCUGAGGAAACCUCCAACCCUCCAACCCUCCGAACCUCCAACCCUCCGAACCUCCAACCCUCCCAGCUGAACCAGGAGCAGAUUUCCCUCAAAGCUCUUCAAAACCCAGAGUGGAACAUGAUGCCAGCGUUUUUCUGCUUCUUCUGGUCACCAGGCGUCCUCUGGAAGGGCCCGGGACUCGUGUUGACAACCACAGAUGCCCCGAUGCCUCUUUCCCAGAGGGACAAUUAUAAGGACGAGUCCUUAGCUUUAGCUGCUUGCCAAUACAGAGUGCCAGUAUUUAUUAAACGGUGUGUUGAUGUGUGUUUGUCUCCAGACCUCUGCAGAACAUGUGAAUGAAGUGACUCCAAUGUAGAAGAUGUUUUGCUACCUUUAAUCUACUGAGAUGUCUCUUUUCUUUCACUCUGAUUUAUUCUAAUUUCUCUGUAAAUUGCACUUUUUGUAAAAACAAAACUUCAUGAUGGUUGAAAAAAACAUAUGUUGCUCAUUGUGUUUUUCUACCUAUUAAAACAUUGAAGUCUCCAA
This is a long non-coding RNA of Salarias fasciatus (jewelled blenny), 767 nucleotides long. RefSeq lists it as uncharacterized. Lineage: Eukaryota; Metazoa; Chordata; Actinopteri; Blenniiformes; Blenniidae. The transcript has 2 exons. The record is from RefSeq and is a predicted model, not a curated record.